RNAcentral lists this ribosomal RNA (228 nucleotides) under uncultured bacterium. RNAcentral's name for it is "partial 16S ribosomal RNA". It matches the Rfam family "Bacterial small subunit ribosomal RNA", at positions 118 to 345 of the family's 1533-position model. The record is from RNAcentral.
UGAGCAAUCUGCCCUUCACAUCGGAAUAACCAUUGGAAACGAUGGCUAAUACCGAAUAUGACUUCGGAUCGCAUGAUCUGAAGUGGAAAGCUCCGGCGGUGAAGGAUGAGCUCGCGGCCUAUCAGCUAGUUGGUGUGGGUAAUGGCCCACAAGGCGACGACGGGUAGCCGGCUGAGAGGGUGACCCGGCCACACUGGGACUGAGACACGGCCCAGAUCCCGUAACGGG